AUUGAACGCUGGCGGCAGGCUUAACACAUGCAAGUCGAGCGAGCGGCGGACGGGUGAGUAAUGUCUGGGAAACUGCCUGAUGGAGGGGGAUAACUACUGGAAACGGUAGCUAAUACCGCAUACCAUCAGAUGUGCCCAGAUGGGAUUAGCUAGUAGGUGGGGUAAUGGCUCACCUAGGCGCCGAUCCCUAGCUGGUCUGAGAGGAUGACCAGCCACACUGGAACGGAGACACGGUCCAGACGCAAACGGGAGGCAGCAGUGGGGAAUAUUGCACAAGGGGAGCAGGCCUGAUGCAACCAUGCCGAGUAUGUGAAGAAGGGAUUCGGGUUGUAAAGCGCUUGCAGCGAGGAGGCGUUACUAGAAGAAGAAGCACCGGCUAACUCCGUGCCAGCAGCCGCGGUAAUUC
Molecule: ribosomal RNA, 406 nt
Filed under: uncultured bacterium
Lineage: Bacteria
Description: partial 16S ribosomal RNA
Rfam family: Bacterial small subunit ribosomal RNA
Source: RNAcentral